CCUACGGGAGGCAGCAGUGGGGAAUAUUGGGCAAUGGAGGAAACUCUGACCCAGCAACGCCGCGUGAAUGAUGAAGGUCUUCGGAUUGUAAAGUUCUUUUCUAAGGGAAGAAGAAAGUGACGGUACCUUAGGAAUAAGCCUCGGCUAACUACGUGCCAGCAGCCGCGGUAAUACGUAGGAGGCAAGCGUUAUCCGGAAUGACUGGGCGCAAAGGGUGCGUAGGUGGUUUGACAAGUUGGUAGCGUAACUCCGAGGCUCAACCUCGGCACUACUACCAAAACUGUUGGACUUGAGUGCAGGAGGGGCAAAUGGAAUUCCUGGUGUAGCGGUGGAAUGCGUAGAUAUUAGGAGGAACACCAGUGGCGAAGGCGGUCUGCUGGACAGCAACUGACGGUGAGGCGCGAAAGCGUGGGGAGCAAACAGGAUUAGAUACCCGGGUAGUC
Molecule: ribosomal RNA, 443 nt
Filed under: uncultured bacterium
Lineage: Bacteria
Description: partial 16S ribosomal RNA
Rfam family: Bacterial small subunit ribosomal RNA
Source: RNAcentral